GCCCAAGUGGUGAAAUGGCAGACACACCGUCUUCAGGAGGCGGCGCUCGCAAGAGCAUGGGAGUUCAAGUCUCCCCUUGGGCA
Molecule: transfer RNA, 83 nt
Filed under: Bacteroidota bacterium
Lineage: Bacteria; Pseudomonadati; Bacteroidota
Also listed under: 1 other name
Description: Bacteroidetes bacterium tRNA-Leu
Rfam family: tRNA
About the family: Transfer RNA (tRNA) molecules are approximately 80 nucleotides in length.
Source: RNAcentral